Molecule: ribosomal RNA, 859 nt
Filed under: uncultured Actinomycetes bacterium
Lineage: Bacteria; Bacillati; Actinomycetota; Actinomycetes
Description: bacterial SSU rRNA
Rfam family: Bacterial small subunit ribosomal RNA
Source: RNAcentral
GACGAACGCUGGCGGCGUGCUUAACACAUGCAAGUCGAACGGAAAGGCCUGCAGCUUGCUGCGGGUACUCGAGUGGCGAACGGGUGAGUAACACGUGGGUGAUCUGCCUUGCACUUCGGGAUAAGCUUGGGAAACUGGGUCUAAUACCGGAUAGGACAGCUGUUUAGUGUCAGUUGUGGAAAGUUUUUUCGGUGCAAGAUGAGCUCGCGGCCUAUCAGCUUGUUGGUGGGGUAAUGGCCUACCAAGGCGUCGACGGGUAGCCGGCCUGAGAGGGUGUACGGCCACAUUGGGACUGAGAUACGGCCCAGACUCCUACGGGAGGCAGCAGUGGGGAAUAUUGCACAAUGGGCGGAAGCCUGAUGCAGCGACGCCGCGUGGGGGAUGAAGGCCUUCGGGUUGUAAACUCCUUUCGACAGGGACGAAGCGUAAGUGACGGUACCUGUAUAAGAAGCACCGGCUAACUACGUGCCAGCAGCCGCGGUAAUACGUAGGGUGCGAGCGUUGUCCGGAAUUACUGGGCGUAAAGAGCUCGUAGGUGGUUUGUCGCGUCGUCUGUGAAAUUCCGGGGCUUAACUCCGGGCGUGCAGGCGAUACGGGCUGACUUGAGUGCUGUAGGGGAGACUGGAAUUCCUGGUGUAGCGGUGAAAUGCGCAGAUAUCAGGAGGAACACCGAUGGCGAAGGCAGGUCUCUGGGCAGUAACUGACGCUGAGGAGCGAAAGCAUGGGUAGCGAACAGGAUUAGAUACCCUGGUAGUCCAUGCCGUAAACGGUGGGCGCUAGGUGUAGGGGGCUUCCACGUCUUCUGUGCCGUAGCUAACGCAUUAAGCGCCCCGCGCUGGGGAGUACGGCCGCCAAGCUA